GACGAACGCUGGCGGCGUGCUUAACACAUGCAAGUCGAACGGAAAGGCCCUGCUUUUGUGGGGUGCUCGAGUGGCGAACGGGUGAGUAACACGUGAGUAACCUGCCCUUGACUUUGGGAUAACUUCAGGAAACUGGGGCUAAUACCGGAUAGGAGCUUCCGCUGCAUGGUGGGGGCUGGAAAGUUUCGGCGGUUGGGGAUGGACUCGCGGCUUAUCAGCUUGUUGGUGGGGUAGUGGCUUACCAAGGCUUUGACGGGUAGCCGGCCUGAGAGGGUGACCGGGCACAAUAGGACUGAGGGAGGGAGCAGACUGCAACGGGGGGCAGCGGUGGGGAAUAUUGCACAGUGGGCGGAAGCCUGAGACAGCGACGCCGCGGGCGUGAUGACGGCCUUCGGGUUGUAAACCGCUUUCGCCUAUGACGAAGCGUGAAUGACGGUAAUGGGUGAAGAAGCACCGGCUAACUACGUG
RNAcentral lists this ribosomal RNA (468 nucleotides) under uncultured bacterium. Its description in RNAcentral is "partial 16S ribosomal RNA". It matches the Rfam family "Bacterial small subunit ribosomal RNA", at positions 28 to 507 of the family's 1533-position model. The record is from RNAcentral.